UGGGGAAUAUUGCACAAUGGGCGAAAGCCUGAUGCAGCGACGCCGCGUGAACGAUGAAGUAUUUCGGUAUGUAAAGUUCUAUCAGCAGGGAAGAAAAAAUGACGGUACCUGACUAAGAAGCACCGGCUAAAUACGUGCCAGCAGCCGCGGUAAUACGUAUGGUGCAAGCGUUAUCCGGAUUUACUGGGUGUAAAGGGAGCGUAGGCGGUUUUAUAAGUCUGAUGUGAAAGCCCGGGGCUCAACCCCGGGACUGCAUUGGAAACUGUAGAACUAGAGUGUCGGAGGGGUAAGUGGAAUUCCUAGUGUAGCGGUGAAAUGCGUAGAUAUUAGGAGGAACACCAGUGGCGAAGGCGGCUUACUGGACGAUUACUGACGCUGAGGCUCGAAAGCGUGGGGAGCAAACAGG
This 406-nucleotide ribosomal RNA is filed under the name uncultured Pseudobutyrivibrio sp. RNAcentral describes it as "bacterial SSU rRNA". It matches the Rfam family "Bacterial small subunit ribosomal RNA", at positions 355 to 776 of the family's 1533-position model. The record is from RNAcentral. Lineage: Bacteria; Bacillati; Bacillota; Clostridia; Lachnospirales; Lachnospiraceae.